RNAcentral lists this long non-coding RNA (272 nucleotides) under Carica papaya (papaya). RNAcentral describes it as "long non-coding RNA (CPAP_LNC011793)". Lineage: Eukaryota; Viridiplantae; Streptophyta; Magnoliopsida; Brassicales; Caricaceae. The record is from RNAcentral.
CUCAGUUGGCUGCGGCUUGGACGCUGAUGGCUCAGCUCAAGCACAGAUUGACCAAGUUUAAGUGGUCCGACAAACAGAAUGGCCACACCAAACAUCCCCAUGCACGGAAAAAACGGAAUGGCACAGUGGAGGAGAUUUGUCCGGUCAAUGCAGCGCGACUCAUCGUGCGAUCGGAGCGGCGUGACGUGCGGGAGGAGCAAUCGAUCUGUCUCCUGAAGUAGAUUGGCCGAAACAAAGCGACAGAUGACACAGAACGAUAGAUCUUUCAAAUG